UACGAAGGGGGCUAGCGUUGCUCGGAAUCACUGGGCGUAAAGCGCACGUAGGCGGACUUUUAAGUCGGAGGUGAAAUCCUGGAGCUCAACUCCAGAACUGCCUUCGAUACUGAGAGUCUUCGAGUUCGGGAGAGGUGAGUGGAACUGCGAGUGUAGAGGUGAAAUUCGUAGAUAUUCGCAAGAACACCAGUGGCGAAGGCGGCUCACUGGCCCAUAACUGACGCUGAGGCACGAAAGCGUGGGGAGCAAACAGG
RNAcentral lists this ribosomal RNA (254 nucleotides) under uncultured bacterium. RNAcentral describes it as "partial 16S ribosomal RNA". It matches the Rfam family "Bacterial small subunit ribosomal RNA", at positions 524 to 776 of the family's 1533-position model. The record is from RNAcentral.